UGUGUGUGUGUGUGUGUGUGUUCAUUGCCUUCAUUGACAAAUUUUUAGAUCUGCCACUUUUACCAAUUAUCUUAGGCUUAUGGAACGCUAGCACCACUGACAACUAUAAUUUACCCUUUUUGUGUAAUUUGUCCUCUGAUUCAAUUAGAAGAAGAAAAUAUUGUCAUGGUAGGUCCAACAGUUGUGUAAUCUUAUUUACAACUCAACUCAAUUCAACUCA
Molecule: unclassified non-coding RNA, 220 nt
Filed under: Hevea brasiliensis (rubber tree)
Lineage: Eukaryota; Viridiplantae; Streptophyta; Magnoliopsida; Malpighiales; Euphorbiaceae
Source: RNAcentral